Molecule: ribosomal RNA, 487 nt
Filed under: uncultured bacterium
Lineage: Bacteria
Description: bacterial SSU rRNA
Rfam family: Bacterial small subunit ribosomal RNA
Source: RNAcentral
AUUGAACGCUGGCGGCAGGCUUAACACAUGCAAGUCGAGCGGGGAAAGGUAGCUUGCUACCUGACCUAGCGGCGGACGGGUGAGUAAUGCUUAGGAAUCUGCCUAUUAGUGGGGGACAACAUUCCGAAAGGAAUGCUAAUACCGCAUACGCCCUACGGGGAAAGCAGGGGAUCUUCGGACCUUGCGCUAAUAGAUGAGCCUAAGUCAGAUUAGCUAGUUGGUGGGGUAAAGGCCUACCAAGGCGACGAUCUGUAGCGGGUCUGAGAGGAUGAUCCGCCACACUGGGACUGAGACACGGCCCAGACUCCUACGGGAGGCAGCAGUGGGGAAUAUUGGACAAUGGGCGAAAGCCUGAUCCAGCCAUGCCGCGUGUGUGAAGAAGGCCUUUUGGUGUAAAGCACUUUAAGCGAGGAGGAGGCUACUUAGAUUAAUACUCUAGGAUAGUGGACGUUACUCGCAGAAUAAGCACCGGCUAACUCUGUGCCAG